CCCGGUUUUUCAGUGAGGCUUUAGGAGCGACCCGUCGUUACCCCUUUCGUAAACCCAACGUUGAAAUAUAAGAAAAAUGCUAGGAGCUCACGGCGGCGACGGCGAUGGAAACGAUCCGCACCGAUCGUGGUGGAAGAAAAUAACAGGCUGCAAAAACAGCGGGUCGAAGAAAACACCACCACCACCAAGAGGGGCAGCCAAACAUCUAAACCUUGAGGCUGCCUUCAAGAAAAAUGGAGGCCCGUUACCCAUGUACUUCGAUUACAAAUCAAAGACCUUUCAGUCGAUCGGGG
Long non-coding RNA from Erigeron canadensis, 293 nucleotides. RefSeq lists it as uncharacterized. The record is from RefSeq and is a predicted model, not a curated record. The transcript is spliced from 3 exons. Lineage: Eukaryota; Viridiplantae; Streptophyta; Magnoliopsida; Asterales; Asteraceae.